This 484-nucleotide ribosomal RNA is filed under the name uncultured bacterium. RNAcentral's name for it is "partial 16S ribosomal RNA". It matches the Rfam family "Bacterial small subunit ribosomal RNA", at positions 28 to 523 of the family's 1533-position model. The record is from RNAcentral.
GAUGAACGCUGGCGGCGUGCUUAACACAUGCAAGUCGAACGGUGAAGCAGGAGCUUGCUCUUGUGGAUCAGUGGCGAACGGGUGAGUAACACGUGAGCAACCUGCCCCUGACUCUGGGAUAAGCGCUGGAAACGGCGUCUAAUACUGGAUAUGUGAUGUGACCGCAUGGUCUGCAUCUGGAAAGAAUUUCGGUUGGGGAUGGGCUCGCGGCCUAUCAGCUUGUUGAUGAGGUAAUGGCUCACCAAGGCGUCGACGGGUAGCCGGCCUGAGAGGGUGACCGGCCACACUGGGACUGAGACACGGCCCAGACUCCUACGGGAGGCAGCAGUGGGGAAUAUUGCACAAUGGGCGGAAGCCUGAUGCAGCAACGCCGCGUGAGGGAUGACGGCCUUCGGGUUGUAAACCUCUUUCAGCAGGGAAGAAGCGAAAGUGACGGUACCUGCAGAAAAAGCACCGGCUAACUACGUGCCAGCCGCCGCAGUAA